UACGGAGGGUGCGAGCGUUAAUCGGAAUUACUGGGCGUAAAGCGUGCGCAGGCGGUUUGUUAAGCGAGAUGUGAAAGCCCCGGGCUCAACCUGGGAACCGCAUUUCGAACUGGCAAACUAGAGUCUUGUAGAGGGGGGUAGAAUUCCAGGUGUAGCAGUGAAAUGCGUAGAGAUCAGGAGGAACACCGAUGGCGAAGGCAGCCCCCUGGACAAAGACUGACGCUCAGGCACGAAAGCGUGGGGAGCAAACAGG
Molecule: ribosomal RNA, 253 nt
Filed under: uncultured microorganism
Description: partial 16S ribosomal RNA
Rfam family: Bacterial small subunit ribosomal RNA
Source: RNAcentral